Molecule: long non-coding RNA, 262 nt
Filed under: Carica papaya (papaya)
Lineage: Eukaryota; Viridiplantae; Streptophyta; Magnoliopsida; Brassicales; Caricaceae
Description: long non-coding RNA (CPAP_LNC008306)
Source: RNAcentral
GGCUAAUGGAGCCCGAGUCUAGUGUGAUUGGUGAUUUACUGUUAUUUGGCCUGUUUUACAGCUUUAAAUGCAAAAUGAGGUUUGAUGUGUUCAUUUUACAGAUUUGUGUGCAUGUACUACGUUUUUAUUAAUUAUGGGUUGAAUGACUGAAAAACUGAUACUGUAUGUUGUCUGUUUGGUAUGAAUUACGAUUUGCUUGUUUAAAUGUGAAUUGAUGAUGCUGAUUGAGGAAAAGGAAAAUGAAAGAUUGUGUAGACUGAUA